UUCAACAGAAAGAACUGAUUAUGGAUUAUUUAGUUAUUAUUAUAGAUCAUUAUACUUAUUAAUGAAACAGCAGAAAAUUAUAUAGAAAAUUUAACAAAAUACACGUAUUAAGCAGCAUUUUGUUAUUUAUAGGUAUAUCAUCAUAUGUGUAUAUAAAGUAUCAGCACACAGGAAUAAAUUGAGCCCUAAUCUGUUUAGUGAUUGUCUUCAAAGGCUCCAUCCAAAAGUUCCAAGACAUAACCCAUGAAGGAAAAGUAUAAUGUGGAGCCCAUGCUGGUUGGUGACGAGAUUCAAGAGGUCCUGAAGCCAUGAAGACUUGCCAAGACAGCCAGACCCAGUAAUACCUUGGUAUCAUGUUAAACACAAGAAAAGAUGAAUAAAAUAUUAAAAAUGAUAUAAAGUAACUGUAAGUUUCAUUUUCCAGCCACAGUGAGAGUGAGAAAGUCAUCCAACAGUCAUCUCUAUAUUUGCUGUGUUUGGGCUAUGCUUGAAACUUUUCCCUGGAAUAAGUUCCAGCCUAGCCCGGAAACCGUAAGAAUAUUCCAGGGUUUCCGAGCAACCAUGGAAAAUUUUCCAUGAUGAAAGUUUCAGGGU
Long non-coding RNA from Mercenaria mercenaria, 594 nucleotides. RefSeq lists it as uncharacterized. NCBI's taxonomy places the organism in Eukaryota, Metazoa, Mollusca, Bivalvia, Venerida, Veneridae. The record is from RefSeq and is a predicted model, not a curated record. The transcript is spliced from 3 exons.